Molecule: long non-coding RNA, 697 nt
Filed under: Homo sapiens (human)
Lineage: Eukaryota; Metazoa; Chordata; Mammalia; Primates; Hominidae
Description: ZNF24 transcription regulator (ZNF24TR)
Source: RNAcentral
AGACCCUCCAGGGGCAGGGCCCAGGAUUGAAGAGGGAAGCCCUGCUCCACACGUGUUCAUCAGGAAGGACCCACAGACUGCUGCUCCUGGAGGCCUCUCGGUUUAUGGAUGUGUGUUUGUUCCAUAAACCCUCAGAGGGUCACCUGGAGACCCGCUAAAAUGCAGGUUCUUGGGCCACAUCCUAGACCUUCUGACCGACCCAGGGAGUGGGGCCCAGGAAGCUGCAUUUGACAGAUAUCCCCGUGUGAUCAUCAUGCACACAGGAGUGAGAGAACCAGUGUUCUCCCCGGGCAGAAGGGAAGCUCGUGUGCAGGACACCUCACACCUCCUUUCCCAUUCCCCUGCCAGGCUCUCCCUGCUGACAUUGUUUUUGCGGGAGAGCUGUGAAUUCUGAAGAUUAGGUUGCUUCUCACCCCAAGCUCCAGAAGUCCAGGCUGAGCCAAACCAAGCUUCAAGUUGUGCCUGGACUUGGAGAACCAGGAGGUGAGGGGACUGACUACUUGAAGAUCACAUGGAGGAGGAGUCUGAUCCAGGCCCAGUCUUGCUCUGUUGCCCAGGCUGGAAUACAGUGGCAUGAUCUCAGCUCACUGCAACCUCUGCCCCCCAGGUUCAAGCAAUUCUCAUGCAUCAGCCUCCCAAGAAGCUGGGACUGACUACAGGCAUGCACCACCACACCCAGCUAAUUUUUGUGUCUAAC